Sorex araneus (European shrew) is the source of this 291-nucleotide unclassified non-coding RNA. Its record names the gene 7SK. It matches the Rfam family "7SK RNA". From Rfam's summary of the family: 7SK was discovered as an abundant small nuclear RNA in the mid-70s but a possible function has only recently been suggested. Two independent studies have found that 7SK RNA binds the CDK9/cyclin T complex (known as elongation factor P-TEFb). P-TEFb activates transcription by phosphorylating the C-terminal domain of RNA polymerase II. The record is from Ensembl. Lineage: Eukaryota; Metazoa; Chordata; Mammalia; Eulipotyphla; Soricidae.
GGCUGUGACAUCUCCAUCUGUCACUCCAUUGAUCGCCAGGAUUGAUUUGGCUGAUUUGGCUGGUUAGACAGGUGUCCCCUUCCUCCUUCACCGCUCCAUGUGCAUCCCUCCCGAAGCUGCCCGCAGGGUCGAAGUGGACGGCCUUCACUGAAUAGAGAUAGACCAGUCUUCAGUUGAGGGUAUAUGAGUAGCUGCGCUCCCUUGCUACAACCUCCGAACAAGCUCUCAAGCUUUACUGUAAUACAAUUAAUUUAAAAUUUAAGUCUCCUAUUUAAAAUACAUGGUUUAUUU